RNAcentral lists this ribosomal RNA (1372 nucleotides) under uncultured bacterium. RNAcentral describes it as "bacterial SSU rRNA". It matches the Rfam family "Bacterial small subunit ribosomal RNA", at positions 28 to 1381 of the family's 1533-position model. The record is from RNAcentral.
GAUGAACGCUGGCGGCGUGCCUAAUACAUGCAAGUCGAGCGAACGGACGAGAAGCUUGCUUCUCUGAUGUUAGCGGCGGACGGGUGAGUAACACGUGGAUAACCUACCUAUAAGACUGGGAUAACUUCGGGAAACCGGAGCUAAUACCGGAUAAUAUUUUGAACCGCAUGGUUCAAAAGUGAAAGACGGUCUUGCUGUCACUUAUAGAUGGAUCCGCGCUGCAUUAGCUAGUUGGUAAGGUAACGGCUUACCAAGGCAACGAUGCAUAGCCGACCUGAGAGGGUGAUCGGCCACACUGGAACUGAGACACGGUCCAGACUCCUACGGGAGGCAGCAGUAGGGAAUCUUCCGCAAUGGGCGAAAGCCUGACGGAGCAACGCCGCGUGAGUGAUGAAGGUCUUCGGAUCGUAAAACUCUGUUAUUAGGGAAGAACAUAUGUGUAAGUAACUGUGCACAUCUUGACGGUACCUAAUCAGAAAGCCACGGCUAACUACGUGCCAGCAGCCGCGGUAAUACGUAGGUGGCAAGCGUUAUCCGGAAUUAUUGGGCGUAAAGCGCGCGUAGGCGGUUUUUUAAGUCUGAUGUGAAAGCCCACGGCUCAACCGUGGAGGGUCAUUGGAAACUGGAAAACUUGAGUGCAGAAGAGGAAAGUGGAAUUCCAUGUGUAGCGGUGAAAUGCGCAGAGAUAUGGAGGAACACCAGUGGCGAAGGCGACUUUCUGGUCUGUAACUGACGCUGAUGCGCGAAAGCGUGGGGAUCAAACAGGAUUAGAUACCCUGGUAGUCCACGCCGUAAACGAUGAGUGCUAAGUGUUAGGGGGUUUCCGCCCCUUAGUGCUGCAGCUAACGCAUUAAGCACUCCGCCUGGGGAGUACGACCGCAAGGUUGAAACUCAAAGGAAUUGACGGGGACCCGCACAAGCGGUGGAGCAUGUGGUUUAAUUCGAAGCAACGCGAAGAACCUUACCAAAUCUUGACAUCCUUUGACAACUCUAGAGAUAGAGCCUUCCCCUUCGGGGGACAAAGUGACAGGUGGUGCAUGGUUGUCGUCAGCUCGUGUCGUGAGAUGUUGGGUUAAGUCCCGCAACGAGCGCAACCCUUAAGCUUAGUUGCCAUCAUUAAGUUGGGCACUCUAAGUUGACUGCCGGUGACAAACCGGAGGAAGGUGGGGAUGACGUCAAAUCAUCAUGCCCCUUAUGAUUUGGGCUACACACGUGCUACAAUGGACAAUACAAAGGGCAGCGAAACCGCGAGGUCAAGCAAAUCCCAUAAAGUUGUUCUCAGUUCGGAUUGUAGUCUGCAACUCGACUACAUGAAGCUGGAAUCGCUAGUAAUCGUAGAUCAGCAUGCUACGGUGAAUACGUUCCCGGGUCU